This 665-nucleotide ribosomal RNA is filed under the name uncultured archaeon. Its description in RNAcentral is "bacterial SSU rRNA". It matches the Rfam family "Archaeal small subunit ribosomal RNA", at positions 11 to 665 of the family's 1478-position model. The record is from RNAcentral.
GACCUGCCGGACCCACUGCUAUCGGUAUAGGACUAAGACAUGCUAGUCGAGUGGUCAGCCAAAACGAGCCACGGCAUACAGCUCAGUAACACGUGGCUAAUCUGCCCUUGAGACGAGAACAACCCCGGGAAACUGGGGCUAACUCUCGAUAGGCGAAGAACACUGAAAUGUGUCUUCACCCAAAAAGCUUCACGUUACGCUCGUGAGGUCGCUCAAGGAUGAGGCCGCGACCGAUCAGGUUGUUGGUGAGGUAAUGGUUCACCAAGCCUUUAACCGGUGCGGGCCGUGAGAGCGGGAGCCCGGAGAUGGGCACUGAGACAAGGGCCCAGGCCCUACGGGGCGCAGCAGUCGCGAAAACUUUGCAAUAAGCGAAAGCUUGACAGGGCUAUCCCGAGUGCCAUCCGCUGAGGAAGGCUUUUACCCAGUCUAGAACGCUGGGGGAAUAAGGAGAGGGCAAGUCUGGUGUCAGCCGCCGCGGUAAUACCAGCUCUUCGAGUGGUGUGGAUGUUUAUUGGGCCUAAAGCAUCCGUAGCUGGCUAAGUUAGUCCCUUGUUCAAUCCACCGAAUUACUCGUUGGAUUGCGGGGGAUACUGCUUGGCUAAGGGACGAGAGAGGCAGACGGCAUUUCGGGGUAGGGGUGAAUCCUAUAUCCGGGAGACACAGUG